Molecule: long non-coding RNA, 577 nt
Organism: Pipra filicauda (Wire-tailed manakin)
Lineage: Eukaryota; Metazoa; Chordata; Aves; Passeriformes; Pipridae
Exons: 2
Source: RefSeq, a predicted model, not a curated record
AAACUAUCAGGAAUUUUAAGUUUUCACAUAUAUAAUUUAGGUAGAUAUAAGACAAACAAUUUAAGUGAAUAUCUAUACUCCCAUUAAUUCCCAGGGAAGAAAAUGCAUGUAAAUUUCUGGUGCCCCAAACGUUUUCACUACUUUUACUCUCAAGAACUCUGACUGCUUUUAAAAGACAGUGAAGGUCUGUUACUAUAAUUGCAUCAAAUAAGAUAUUCUCCUUUAUGUGUACUCUUUCUCCCCAGUCAGGUAAGGAAUUCUAACAGAGUCAAAGCUGAACAGAACAUUACACUUGAUUUUUUUUAUUAUUUAACAGAGAAAAACAUUCAGAAUCAAAAGCUUCUCCAGUCACCAUCUAUCUCAUCUCAUCUUCUUCAAAGACAGCCAAACUAUAUUACAGAAGGGUUUUGAGCAAAACACAUUCCAGAAGAAAAAACCUGAAAGUUGGUUUUGGUGUCAUUUAAGGAAAAUAAGCCCUUCUAGGGAAUCCAUCUACUAUGAGUUCCACUAUGAGGGUAUUUUAUUCCUGUUCUUAAUCCCACGGGGCAACGUGAAAAUUGCUCAUGCGGAUAUAAUG